This is a long non-coding RNA of Ostrea edulis (European flat oyster), 453 nucleotides long. RefSeq lists it as uncharacterized. Lineage: Eukaryota; Metazoa; Mollusca; Bivalvia; Ostreida; Ostreidae. The record is from RefSeq and is a predicted model, not a curated record. The transcript is spliced from 2 exons.
UUGGUUUAUAGAGAAGUUGGUGAAAAUAUAUGACAGAUAUUUGACUGUUGACUGAUCAUUUCUUUAACAAGGUAAGCUUAUUUUCUAACUUUAAUAUUAUUUCUAAUUUGCAGUAAACGUAAUAAUUUGGUAGAUUUAAUUCCAUAGCACUUGCACAGUGAGAAAGAUAUUUUGUGAGGCAUAAAUCAGUUAGCUUGAAAUAAGUUAAAUUUAUGUGUUUCACAGAUUUGGUAUACUGUAUUUUUAAAUACAUGCUUGAUAUUUUUAUGAUGCAAGUUUAUUUAUGUAAACUUCAUAAUUUACAGUCAAUCUCCAUGGACAUUUUUGUUAAAUGAGGGAUUAUUGCCACAUCACUUAUUCCCAUAGAAUGAGUGUCAUACACAUACAUAUACAUGUAUAUCUAAAGCUUAGAUUCUGGCAAUAAAAUGGAGGUGAUCGACAUCUAAGAACCCA